This 253-nucleotide ribosomal RNA is filed under the name uncultured bacterium. RNAcentral describes it as "partial 16S ribosomal RNA". It matches the Rfam family "Bacterial small subunit ribosomal RNA", at positions 524 to 776 of the family's 1533-position model. The record is from RNAcentral.
UACGAGGGGGGCGAGCGUUGUUCGGAAUUAUUGGGCGUAAAGGGCUCGUAGGCGGUUUGUCACGUCGGGUGUGAAAACUCGGGGCUUAACCCCGAGCCUGCUUCCGAUACGGGCAGACUAGAGGUAUGCAGGGGAGAACGGAAUUCCUGGUGUAGCGGUGAAAUGCGCAGAUAUCAGGAGGAACACCGGUGGCGAAGGCGGUUCUCUGGGCAUCGCCUGACGCUGAGGAGCGAAAGUGUGGGGAGCGAACAGG